This 71-nucleotide transfer RNA is filed under the name Marmota monax (woodchuck). Its description in RNAcentral is "tRNA.Ala". Lineage: Eukaryota; Metazoa; Chordata; Mammalia; Rodentia; Sciuridae. The record is from RNAcentral.
GUGGGGCUGGGGAUGUGGUAGCACGCUCGCCUAGCACGCGUGAGGCACUGGGUUCGAUUCUCAGCACCACA